GAUGAAGAACGUAGCGAAAUGCGAUAAGUAAUGUGAAUUGCAGAAUUCAGUGAAUCAUCGAAUCUUUGAACGCACAUUGCGCCCGCCAGUAUUCUGGCGGGCAUGCCUGUUCGAGCGUCAUUUCAACCAUCAAGCCCCAGGCUUGUGUUGGGGACCUGCGGCUGCCGCAGGCCCUGAAAACCAGUGGCGGGCUCGCUGUCACACCGGGCGUAGUAGAUUUUAUCUCGCUCAGGGCGUGCUGCGGGUUCCGGCCGUUAAAAAGCCUUUUUUACCCAAGGUUGACCUCGAAUCAGGUAGGAAUACCCGCUGAACUUAAGCAUAUCAAUAAGCGGAGGA
This 336-nucleotide unclassified non-coding RNA is filed under the name soil metagenome. RNAcentral's name for it is "partial contains 5.8S ribosomal RNA, internal transcribed spacer 2, and large subunit ribosomal RNA". The stretch from base 1 to 120 matches the Rfam family "5.8S ribosomal RNA", at positions 35 to 154 of the family's 154-position model. The record is from RNAcentral.